Molecule: long non-coding RNA, 2254 nt
Organism: Apis cerana (Asiatic honeybee)
Lineage: Eukaryota; Metazoa; Arthropoda; Insecta; Hymenoptera; Apidae
Source: RefSeq, a predicted model, not a curated record
GUUCUAUGGUUGUAUAUACAUGUAUGUGUAUUAUGUCAUGUUUCUUAUGUUUCUCAUUCAUCUUUUUGCUCUUUCUGAAAAAGUACUGCGCGUAUACUUGAGUGAAAAUAUUAAAAAAUUGAGUUAAAAUAUUAAAAAUCACAAAAAUUUUUUUAUAAAAAAAGAUCGUUUUUUUAAAAAACGAUUCGGUUUUUAAAUAUUUUUUAGUAAUAAUUGAUGAUCAUCGAACAAUCAAAUUCAAAUUUUAACCGAAAAAAAAAUGUAAAGAUUACACAAUUAAAUUAAUUUGAAUUCUGACCUGUAUAUAAAUUCCAUAUGAAUUCCAUACUUUUCAAAUAAUCUUAUGCUCUUAUCUAUUAUUUUUUUAAUUGAUACUUUGAAAUAUUAAUUAAUUAUAUUUUAAAACGUAAUAUGGGAUAUAUUAAAAAAUAUGAUUUUUUUUAAAUGUAAAGGAAUACUUGUUUUUUAUAUUAGUUAUCAAUAUUAAGAUAAGUAGACAAUUAGGAUAAAUAUAUGUUACUUUAAAUUUAGGAUUGCUUUAGGAUUUUCUAUUUCUUCAAAAGAAUCAGUCGAUUUACCACAUUAAAAGCGGUAAUCUCUGAUUGCUUUCAAAUGUAUACUGCGCAUGUCUAAGCAAGUUCCUAAAAUCUCAAAAUACUUUCUGCCAAAAAAAAUUCAUCAAAUCCCCUCCUUUGAUAUUUUCCAUUUCUACAAUAGAGUAAAAUUCAAUUAUAUAUAUUUAUAUUUAAAAAAUUAUAAUUGCUAUAUCAACAAAUUAAUUUCGUAAUAAUUGUAAAUAUACUUAAUAUAUACUUAAUACGAAUAUUGUAUAAUAGAAAAAUUUAAAUCAAUUUAACUUUAACUAAUACGAUAAUGAUCUUUUAAUUAAUAUUCUCUAUAACGUAAAUUAAAAAUGAAAUUUUAUUUUUCAAUUCAAAUAAUUAUAAAAUAUUUUAAGUUUGAAUAUGAUAUACUGAAAAAUAUUUAUAUGCAAUAUUCUGGAAAAAUUAUGAUAUGCUAUCGUAUGAUUCCAGUUCAAACAGGUUUCCGUUGGAAUGAUGUGUUUUGACGUCAUGCAUGUCACUCAACGUGUACAUUAAAAUUGUGCUACCACUAAUUUCAACGUAUACUAAUAGUGAGAUUAAUUUUAUUGCAGAGAAUUAAUACAAUUAAUUUUAUUUUAUCAACGAUGAUGAACAAUGACUGACGUCAAACAUUAACAUCAUAAUUGUAAUACAUCAAUUUUUGUUAAAUAAGAAAAAAACAUUAGUUUAUAUAUGACUUAAUCAAAUAGUUUUUACUUAUUUUUAUACAAUCAACGAUAAUCAAAAAACUUAUUCAGCUAUAUUCCAUUUGUGUAACAUAACCUAUAAUAAUAUUGAAGUCUACUAAAACAAUAUAUGAAUAAAAGAAAAAAAAUUUUUUUUUUGUUUAUGCAAUAUUAAUAAGAAUGUUCUUAUAAGCAAAGUCUAAUAUUUAUAUGUAUAAUGUUUCGUUAAAGAAAAAUAAACGUGUGCAAGAUUGUAUCUUUUAAACAACGUUACCAAAUCGAGGCAUUUAAAGGGUUUGAGAGAUUUAAGAAAAAAAUAGUGGAAGAGAAGAAAGUUGAUUAAUAAUGACUUAUGAUUCAAUGGUAUUUGGCAAUCCUAUGUAGGCUUAUAUAAUGUAGAUGAUAUAAGUACGAUACCAAUGAUGGGAUUAUGAAGAAGAUAAAGAAAGAGAUAAAAAAUUCCUCGUUAAAGGAUUUCUCCUAGUAAUCCUAUUUUUAAAAGAUUUCAUAUAAGGAGUAUGCUGUGCCAUCUAAUGGAAAGAAUUUAAAUUUCAUUUAUAUUAUAAAAAUAUAAUAUACUAUUAUAUGAUUGAUCAAAUUAAAUUUCAAAUAUUUCAAAUAUUUUUUAUAAAUUGAAAUUAUACAAAUUAUUAAGAAUUGUUAAAUUAUUAAAUUUUAAUAUGUAUAUUUAUAUAUGUAUAUAUAUAUGUUUUUUAAAAAUUUUUUCAUUAAAUCAAAUUUUGAUUUAAGAAUUAUAUAUAAAUUUUUCGUCUAAAAUAAAUAUCAUAAUUAUAUUAACAAUGAUAUAUACAUACAUAUAUAUGUUUUUUUAUAAUAUAAAACUUCUUUCAAAAUUAUUCUAUAAAUAUUAAAGAAAAUCGUUAUUACAAAACAUUUAAAAAUAUUUAUAUAUAUAUGUAGUAUACAAAUAAAUAUUAUAAUAUGCAAGUAAAUAAGAUAAAAAUAUAAUUUUCUGCUGAUUUA